GAUGAACGCUGGCGGCGUGCCUAAUACAUGCCAGUCGAACGCUGAAGGAGGAGCUUGCUCUUCUGGAUGAGUUGCGAACGGGUGAGUAACGCGUAGGUAACCUGCCUGGUAGCGGGGGAUAACUAUUGGAAACGAUAGCUAAUACCGCAUGACAACAGUUAUUGCAUGAUAACUGUUUAAAAGGGGCAACUGCUCCACUACCAGAUGGACCUGCGUUGUAUUAGCUAGUUGGUGAGGUAACGGCUCACCAAGGCGACGAUACAUAGCCGACCUGAGAGGGUGAUCGGCCACACUGGGACUGAGACACGGCCCAGACUCCUACGGGAGGCAGCAGUAGGGAAUCUUCGGCAAUGGACGGAAGUCUGACCGAGCAACGCCGCGUGAGUGAAGAAGGUUUUCGGAUCGUAAAGCUCUGUUGUAAGAGAAGAACGAGUGUGAGAGUGGAAAGUUCACACUGUGACGGUAGCUUACCAGAAAGGGACGGCUAACUACGUG
This 495-nucleotide ribosomal RNA is filed under the name uncultured bacterium. RNAcentral's name for it is "partial 16S ribosomal RNA". It matches the Rfam family "Bacterial small subunit ribosomal RNA", at positions 28 to 507 of the family's 1533-position model. The record is from RNAcentral.